Molecule: ribosomal RNA, 2360 nt
Filed under: Enterococcus faecalis EnGen0365
Lineage: Bacteria; Bacillati; Bacillota; Bacilli; Lactobacillales; Enterococcaceae
Description: bacterial LSU rRNA
Rfam family: Bacterial large subunit ribosomal RNA
Source: RNAcentral
UUAAGUGAAUAAGGGCGCACGGUGGAUGCCUUGGCACUAGGAGCCGAUGAAGGACGGGACUAACACCGAUAUGCUUUGGGGAGCUGUAAGUAAGCUAUGAUCCAGAGAUUUCCGAAUGGGGGAACCCAAUAUCUUUUAUAGGAUAUUACUUUUCAGUGAAUACAUAGCUGAUUAGAGGUAGACGCAGAGAACUGAAACAUCUUAGUACCUGCAGGAAGAGAAAGAAAAUUCGAUUCCCUGAGUAGCGGCGAGCGAAACGGGAAGAGCCCAAACCAACAAGCUUGCUUGUUGGGGUUGUAGGACUCCAAUAUGGUAGUCUGUUAGUAUAGUUGAAGGAUUUGGAAAAUUCCGCUAAAAAGGGUGAAAGCCCCGUAGACGAAAUGCUGACAACACCUAGGAGGAUCCUGAGUACGGCGGAACACGAGAAAUUCCGUCGGAAUCCGCGGGGACCAUCCCGCAAGGCUAAAUACUCCCUAGUGACCGAUAGUGAACCAGUACCGUGAGGGAAAGGUGAAAAGCACCCCGGAAGGGGAGUGAAAUAGAUCCUGAAACCGUGUGCCUACAACAAGUCAAAGCUCGUUAAUGAGUGAUGGCGUGCCUUUUGUAGAAUGAACCGGCGAGUUACGAUUGCAUGCGAGGUUAAGUCGAAGAGACGGAGCCGCAGCGAAAGCGAGUCUGAAUAGGGCGAAUGAGUAUGUAGUCGUAGACCCGAAACCAUGUGAUCUACCCAUGUCCAGGUUGAAGGUGCGGUAAAACGCACUGGAGGACCGAACCCACGUACGUUGAAAAGUGCGGGGAUGAGGUGUGGGUAGCGGAGAAAUUCCAAACGAACUUGGAGAUAGCUGGUUCUCUCCGAAAUAGCUUUAGGGCUAGCCUCGGAAUUGAGAAUGAUGGAGGUAGAGCACUGUUUGGACUAGGGGCCCAUCUCGGGUUACCGAAUUCAGAUAAACUCCGAAUGCCAUUCAUUUAUAUCCGGGAGUCAGACUGCGAGUGAUAAGAUCCGUAGUCGAAAGGGAAACAGCCCAGACCACCAGCUAAGGUCCCAAAAUAUAUGUUAAGUGGAAAAGGAUGUGGGGUUGCACAGACAACUAGGAUGUUGGCUUAGAAGCAGCCACCAUUUAAAGAGUGCGUAAUAGCUCACUAGUCGAGUGACCCUGCGCCGAAAAUGUACCGGGGCUAAACAUAUUACCGAAGCUGUGGACUACACCAUUAGGUGUAGUGGUAGGAGAGCGUUCUAAGGGCGUUGAAGGUCGAUCGUGAGGACGGCUGGAGCGCUUAGAAGUGAGAAUGCCGGUAUGAGUAGCGAAAGACAGGUGAGAAUCCUGUCCACCGUAUGACUAAGGUUUCCUGGGGAAGGCUCGUCCGCCCAGGGUUAGUCGGGACCUAAGCCGAGGCCGAUAGGCGUAGGCGAUGGACAACAGGUUGAUAUUCCUGUACCAGUUGUUUUUGUUUGAACAAUGGAGGGACGCAGUAGGCUAAGGAAUGCAUGCGAUUGGAAGUGCAUGUCCAAGCAAUGAGUCUUGAGUAGAGUUAAAUGCUUUACUCUUUAAGGACAAGUUGUGACGGGGAGCGAAAUAAUAGUAGCGAAGUUCCUGAUGUCACACUGCCAAGAAAAGCUUCUAGUGAGAAAACAACUGCCCGUACCGUAAACUGACACAGGUAGUCGAGGAGAGUAUCCUAAGGUGAGCGAGCGAACUCUCGUUAAGGAACUCGGCAAAAUGACCCCGUAACUUCGGGAGAAGGGGUGCUGACUUCGGUCAGCCGCAGUGAAUAGGCCCAAGCGACUGUUUAUCAAAAACACAGGUCUCUGCAAAAUCGUAAGAUGAAGUAUAGGGGCUGACGCCUGCCCGGUGCUGGAAGGUUAAGAGGAUGGGUUAGCUUCGGCGAAGCUCAGAAUUGAAGCCCCAGUAAACGGCGGCCGUAACUAUAACGGUCCUAAGGUAGCGAAAUUCCUUGUCGGGUAAGUUCCGACCCGCACGAAAGGCGUAACGAUUUGGGCACUGUCUCAACGAGAGACUCGGUGAAAUUUUAGUACCUGUGAAGAUGCAGGUUACCCGCGACAGGACGGAAAGACCCCAUGGAGCUUUACUGUAGUUUGAUAUUGAGUGUUUGUACCACAUGUACAGGAUAGGUAGGAGCCGAUGAGACCGGAACGCUAGUUUCGGAGGAGGCGCUGGUGGGAUACUACCCUUGUGUUAUGAACCCUCUAACCCGCACCACUAAUCGUGGUGGGAGACAGUGUCAGAUGGGCAGUUUGACUGGGGCGGUCGCCUCCUAAAAGGUAACGGAGGCGCCCAAAGGUUCCCUCAGAAUGGUUGGAAAUCAUUCGAAGAGUGUAAAGGCAGAAGGGAGCUUGACUG